GAAUGAACCCUGGGGUGUAUUUAUUAUGUCUUGCAACGGAAACACGUUAAAGAAUCAAACGUACACGAACAGCGCAAUCGAUGAAAAACGGGGCGGGACCUACCUGAAUUUGUCCAAUAGAAACUAGUUUUCGUUGAACAAAAAUGUAUAUUUGGAGUAAAUGGUUAACGUUGCUAAACGCUUUGGAACAUAAUCGGCGUACUUAAUACAGCCGUGGAGUAUCUAUAAACACACCAUUUUGUGAAUGUUAAACUCAGUUGAAAAAUAAUGGAGUGGGUUGCAGUUAUGCCAAGAGUUUGCAAUCUGUUAUGCUGUGGUGGUUGACAGCAACCACUAUGUGCCACUUCACUUGAUGCACCGUCUGUCUGACCAACUCGUUCGCUAAACACUGAAAAACGAACGUUAAGCCAAAAUAUGGCUGUUAACUAACAUUAUCAACCAGUCACACAGUUCAGCAGCCCCGGGCCUGUACUUACUCCAGCUUUCCUCCCCUGCCUCCCCCUCCGACUUACCCUGGUAGAGGUGAUAUCCAUCAUAACCUCCUGAAAAGCAGCAGUCUCUUCAGCCUGACGUUGGAUUUGACAGACUACAUUUUGGCAACAUCUGGGAACAGAUUACACAAAAGGUUUGUGAAAGGAAGGAACACAUAGGAGUCGACAAGUAAGUUUACACCCAGGACCUCUUUUUGGAUAAAUCCGUUUGAAUUCAAUCACUUUUUGACAGCAUCCCUUUUGAUUUAAACAAAACGUUCCUACAUGUUUUCCCAUGGAAGAAGUGGUCAGAAAGUGACCUCAAUCCCAAAACAUUCAGGAGAUAAGUGCUCAAAAUGUCUUCAUCACUGGAAAAAGUAAACGGUUCAG
Molecule: long non-coding RNA, 860 nt
Organism: Oncorhynchus keta (chum salmon)
Lineage: Eukaryota; Metazoa; Chordata; Actinopteri; Salmoniformes; Salmonidae
Exons: 4
Source: RefSeq, a predicted model, not a curated record